UAUUCGUUGAAUUUGGGUUAAAGAGAGGAGCUGAAUGCCAGAGGCAAAGUUCCAGUCAGACAUGCAGGUGAAAAGGUCCAUGGUUAGGAAUUCUGCCGCAACCCCUAGUUAAAAUCAAGAUAGAGAGAGAGAACCAUUUAAAUCCUUUCAAUCAGCAGAACAGAGGAAAAAGAGAGAUUCAAAAUUUUGUCAACGCAUGGCAAAAAUGAACCGAUAAAUACUUAUAGAAACAUUUUUCAUUGCCAAAGGACGAAAG
Molecule: unclassified non-coding RNA, 256 nt
Filed under: Hevea brasiliensis (rubber tree)
Lineage: Eukaryota; Viridiplantae; Streptophyta; Magnoliopsida; Malpighiales; Euphorbiaceae
Source: RNAcentral